Molecule: ribosomal RNA, 511 nt
Filed under: uncultured bacterium
Lineage: Bacteria
Description: bacterial SSU rRNA
Rfam family: Bacterial small subunit ribosomal RNA
Source: RNAcentral
GGCUACAGAACGAACGCGUGGCGGCGCGUUUAAGCAUGCAAGUCGAGCGGCAAGGGCCUUCGGGCCCCUAGAGCGGCGGACGGGUGAGUAACACGUGGGACAAUCUGCCCCCCGGCCCGGGAUAGCCCAGGGAAACCUGGAUUAAUACCGGAUGAGACGGGACCCGCGAUGGGCGGGACCCGGGAAAGGCGCUGCGGCGCCGCCGGGGGAUGAGUCUGCGUCCCAUUAGCUAGACGGCGGGGUAACGGCCCACCGUGGCGACGAUGGGGUAGCCGGCCUGAGAGGGUGGACGGCCACAUUGGAACUGAGACACGGUCCAGACUCCUACGGGAGGCAGCAGCUAAGAAUCUUCCGCAAUGGGCGAAAGCCUGACGGAGCGACGCCGCGUGAACGAAGAAGGCCGUGAGGUUGUAAAGUUCUUUUCGGGAGGGGGAACAACCGUGGCAGGGAAUGGCCGCGGGAUGACGUGAAUCCCGGAAUAAGCCCCGGCUAACUACGUGCCAGCAGCAGC